RNAcentral lists this ribosomal RNA (442 nucleotides) under uncultured bacterium. Its description in RNAcentral is "partial 16S ribosomal RNA". It matches the Rfam family "Bacterial small subunit ribosomal RNA", at positions 338 to 795 of the family's 1533-position model. The record is from RNAcentral.
CCUACGGGGUGCAGCAGUGGGGAAUAUUGGGCAAUGGGCGCAAGCCUGACCCAGCAACGCCGCGUGAAGGAAGAAGGCUUUCGGGUUGUAAACUUCUUUUGUCAGGGAAGAGUAGAAGACGGUACCUGACGAAUAAGCCACGGCUAACUACGUGCCAGCAGCCGAGGUAGUACGUAGGUGGGAAGCGUUGUCCGGAUUUACUGGGGGUAAAGGGCGGGUAGCCGGGUUGACAAGUCAGAUGUGAAAUCCUGCGGCUUAACCGCAGAACUGCAUUUGAAACUGUUGAUCUUGAGUACGGGAGAGGCAGAUGGAAUGCCUGGUGUAGCGGUGAAAUGCGUAGAUAUUAGGAGGAACACCAGUGGCGAAGGCGGUCUGCUGGACAGCAACUGACGGUGAGGCGCGAAAGCGUGGGGAGCAAACAGGAUUAGAUACCCGAGUAGUC